RNAcentral lists this ribosomal RNA (168 nucleotides) under uncultured bacterium. RNAcentral describes it as "partial 16S ribosomal RNA". It matches the Rfam family "Bacterial small subunit ribosomal RNA", at positions 338 to 524 of the family's 1533-position model. The record is from RNAcentral.
CCUACGGGAGGCAGCAGUGAGGAAUAUUGGGCAAUGGAGGGAACUCUGACCCAGCCAUGCCGCGUGAGUGAGAAGGUUUUCGAAUUGUAAAGCUCUUUCGGGUGUGAAGAUGAUGACGGUAACACCAGAAGAAGCCCCGGCAAACUUCGUGCCAGCAGCCGCGGUAAU